CAAAAGCUCAAAUUUGAAAUCUGGAGCCUUCGGCUUCCGAGUUGUAAUUUGAAGAGGGUGUUUCGGGAGUAGCCUUGGCCCAAGUUCCUUGGAACAGGACGUCAUGGAGGGUGAGAAUCCCGUACAUGGCUGAAGGCUUUCUCUCAUGUGAAACCCCUUCGAAGAGUCGAGUUGUUUGGGAAUGCAGCUCAAAAUGGGUGGUAAAUUUCAUCUAAAGCUAAAUAUUGGCGGGAGACCGAUAGCGCACAAGUAGAGCGAUCGAAAGAUGAAAAGCACUUUGAAAAGAGAGUUAAACAGUACGUGAAAUUGUUGAAAGGGAAGCGCUUGCAAUCAGACUCGCUUUCGGUUGAUCAGCGACGCCUUCUGGCGCGUGCACUCCGCCGUUUGCGGGCCAGCAUCAGUUGGAGCGGUGGGACAAAGACGGCAGGAAUGUGGCUCCCCUCGGGGAGUGUUAUAGCCUGUCGUGCCAUGCCAUCAGCCCCGACUGAGGUCCGCGGUUCGCCUAGGAUGCUGGCUUAAUGGUUGU
RNAcentral lists this ribosomal RNA (526 nucleotides) under uncultured Orbiliaceae. RNAcentral describes it as "LSU rRNA". It matches the Rfam family "Eukaryotic large subunit ribosomal RNA", at positions 102 to 641 of the family's 3401-position model. The record is from RNAcentral. Lineage: Eukaryota; Fungi; Ascomycota; Orbiliomycetes; Orbiliales.